Molecule: ribosomal RNA, 323 nt
Filed under: uncultured bacterium
Lineage: Bacteria
Description: bacterial SSU rRNA
Rfam family: Bacterial small subunit ribosomal RNA
Source: RNAcentral
GAUGAACGCUGGCGGCGUGCCUAAUACAUGCAAGUCGAGCGGCAGCACGGUCUUCGGACUGGUGGCGAGCGGCGGACGGCUGAGUAACGCGUAGGAAUAUACCCAAAGUGAGGGAUAACUGCCCGAAAGGGUGGCUAAUACCGCAUGUGGUCUUCGGACUAAAGCCUUCGGCGCUUUGGGAAUAGCCUGCGUAAGAUUAGCUAGUUGGUGAGGUAAUGGCUCACCAAGGCGACGAUCUUUAGCUGGUCUGAGAGGAUGACCAGCCAGACUGGAACUGAGACACGGUCCAGACUCCUACGGGAGGCAGCAGUAGGGAAUUUUCC